This 444-nucleotide ribosomal RNA is filed under the name uncultured Parabacteroides sp. Its description in RNAcentral is "bacterial SSU rRNA". It matches the Rfam family "Bacterial small subunit ribosomal RNA", at positions 352 to 794 of the family's 1533-position model. The record is from RNAcentral. Lineage: Bacteria; Pseudomonadati; Bacteroidota; Bacteroidia; Bacteroidales; Tannerellaceae.
UGAGGGAAUAUUUGGGUCAAUGGGCGUAAGCCUGAACCAGCCAAGUCGCGUGAGGGAUGAAGGUUCUAUGGAUCGUAAACCUCUUUUAUAAGGGAAUAAAGUGCGGGACGUGUCCCGUUUUGUAUGUACCUUAUGAAUAAGGAUCGGCUAACUCCGUGCCAGCAGCCGCGGUAAUACGGAGGAUCCGAGCGCUAUCCGGAUUUAUUGGGUUUAAAGGGUGCGCAGGCGGCGCGCCAAGUCAGCGGUCAAAGUUCCGGGCUCAACCCGGUGUCGCCGUUGAAACUGGCGUGCUCGAGUGCGUGCGAGGAAGGCGGAAUGCGUUGUGUAGCGGUGAAAUGCAUAGAUAUGACGCAGAACUCCGAUUGCGAAGGCAGCUUUCCAGCGCGCUACUGACGCUGAGGCACGAAAGCGUGGGGAUCGAACAGGAUUAGAUACCCUGGUAGU